UGCCCUCCUGACCAAGCUGAGCCUCCUCCUCCAGGAAGCUCUCCUAGACUGACCUCCCCACACCCCCUCAUUCCAGGCUCUUCUUCAAUCCGGCCACAAUGGCCAGACAACCUUUCCUCUCCUGGGUGCUGAUAGGUGGCUGUCAACAGGGGUGAAGGAACAUCAUGGUGCAGUAGAAAAAUCCUUCUGGAAAAGAGCCCAGGAGAGCCAGGAUCUGAUUCCAGCUCCACUCCUGACAUGUUGGGUUACCUGAGCAAAGAACUUCUCCAUGACUCAGUUUUCCUGAGUGCUGAGGCUGGUGCCUAUACGUCCCAGACUGCAUAUGGCUGGCCCUUCCAAGAUCCCUUGGGCUUGGGCGAAACUUUUAUUUGUCCACUUAUGAUUGUAGGAAAAUAGAGCUGGCCCUAAAUGAAACUGUCAAGAUCUGAAAACUAUGUUUUACAGACCUUUCUGUUCUUUCAUCCCAGAUCCCUUCCUCCCGCUUCCAAUAGUCAGUGGGAGAAGAGGGGAAGACCCCCUCUCCCAAAUAUUUCCCUCAUUUUUUCCAUCUAAACAUGAAAUAAUUUGAGUAGUAGAGUCUUGCAGGAGCGAGGUGAGUUUCAGUCAGUUGCCUUUCCCAGGUCAAUUGAACUUUAGGCCUUUAAUCAGUAAUAGUGAUAUGACUGACUGUAUUCCCUAUUCCAAUAAUGAUCUCUAAGAAUAUUUUGAUGGAGAGAUCCUAGGGAGCCCUUUAUCCCUGAAAUUCUUUGUGCCUAUUCAAAAUAUUGCAAAUAAACCUUAUUUUGUGCUUA
Long non-coding RNA from Balaenoptera musculus (blue whale), 791 nucleotides. RefSeq lists it as uncharacterized. NCBI's taxonomy places the organism in Eukaryota, Metazoa, Chordata, Mammalia, Artiodactyla, Balaenopteridae. The record is from RefSeq and is a predicted model, not a curated record. The transcript has 2 exons.